Molecule: small nuclear RNA, 117 nt
Filed under: Mustela putorius furo (domestic ferret)
Lineage: Eukaryota; Metazoa; Chordata; Mammalia; Carnivora; Mustelidae
Description: U2 spliceosomal RNA
Rfam family: U2 spliceosomal RNA
About the family: U2 is a small nuclear RNA (snRNA) component of the spliceosome (involved in pre-mRNA splicing).
Source: Rfam by way of RNAcentral
AUCGCUUCUCGGCCUUUUGGCUAAGAUCAAGUGUAUUUUGAGAUUAUUUUUGUGUAUAGUAUGAGAAAGUGGUCCAGCUUUCCCAGCACCAUCUGUUGAAGAGAUGUGCUAAGUAUU